Non-coding RNA from Meleagris gallopavo (turkey), 1814 nucleotides. The record is from RefSeq and is a predicted model, not a curated record. NCBI's taxonomy places the organism in Eukaryota, Metazoa, Chordata, Aves, Galliformes, Phasianidae.
UGGAGCCUGGCUGCACCUCUCCUGGACCCAUUUAAGAGCUGAUUACCACUGAGGAAGGAUCUCUUCUGGAAGUCUCUUCUCUGGAGUUUUGCGGUGAGCCCAGGACAUAGUUAUAACAUCUUUAUAUUCAUUGAUUAUACACCCUCCGUUUACACGAACUUCUGAAACUCUUGCUUCUGUUCCUGGAACGUUACCAGAAAGCUCUUCUUUUUGGCUUCUGCUCAGGCAGGAUUACCGCUAGAACCAGCAGAGUCUUCUGCAAAAGGAAGAGUUUGAAUUGUGGAAGCUCAAAUGCUCCCAGCGGAGUUGGUGUGGUUAUUUUUUGAACAAACCUUAGUGACUGCCUGGUAAUGCCCAUCACACUUGAACAAAUUCUGAAGAAACCAUUUGAAAGACAUUGUAAAAGAAAAUGAACCCACUGAAAGGCUGGAAAGGGCUUGUAUCUCAAAGGAGAAGUAAAGCUCAAAUGAAACUCAGACCUGUAGCUUUAAGAAUAGCAGCAACAGCAGUUAAUGAAAGAUUAGCACUGAUGUUUUACUCCUUCCUUCAAAUUAUUACUGUUGAAUCAGGGAGCCCUUCCAGAGGAGAGAUUACAAAGUGUUUGCCUUUAAAACACAGCUUUUAAAAGAAAUUGCAGACCUUACUAUAACAUCUGAGGAACAUUUUAUAACUUUCUGGGAGUACUUAGUGUAUGCUUUGCCCUUUAAGCUUCAAGUUCUGCCAAAUCUAUGCAAUGCAAUAUCCAGCACUUGCGAACCAAGGAGAAUUGUGGCAGCCUUCCUACACAGGCACCUGCAGGCAAGGACACUUUGUGGGGCUUUUUCUGGCCCAAGCUGCACAAACUAUUCCCAGCUCUGUGCAGGAUGUUAAUCCUCAGUGACUGAUACAUCACAGUUGAGGAAAGCAAGAGGGGUGAGAAUGAGAGAAGCCAACAGAGCAAGGAGCUGUAGUGCCAGUGCACAUUACAGUUCCUGACCUAAUGGGACUUAUAAUGACAAUAGUUAUGCUUGUAUUUAUUAGAAAGAUUUGGUCAGGAAAACUGGGGUAGUUUAAAGUUUAUGACUCCAAUUACAUUUCUGGGCAGGUGAUCAGCAAAAUAAGGCCAGAAAAAUAGGAGUCCUUAAUGGCACCUAACUAGUAAUAUGCUUUUUUUUUUCAGUUGUUACUUUUUUUUCUGCUGUCUGGAUGUGGUUUUUUUUUUUUUUCUAAUGAUUCUUCUGUGCUUCACUUUUGUAUACUGUCAGUGAUGAUCUUCACCAUAGCAACAUGCACGAGAAGAGACAGGUGGAAGAUUUGGUUUGAAUUUAAAGCUAGCCAGUUGAUCUGCAUUUCCAAACUAGAAAUGUAGAAUUGUAGCCCUUCUUGAAAUAUGAUUCAUAAUGAGCUGUAACUGCAUAGUAAUUAGAUAAUGAGUGAUGUGAAACUUGAGCAGUGCUGUCUAACAGAUUAAGAGCUUUGUUUGAGGUACAGAAUUUUUUUUUGUGAUCUCCUUUUCUCUUUUCAUUGAUCGCCAUUAAAACUGAAAUUAAGGCUCAAUUUUGCUGUCAUUAUAGGUUGAAUUUGCCAAAAUGUCCUUAUGAAUAUUCUGUGAAGGAAUUUAGCUGCAAAAAACUGUAAAAUUCUAAUUACAUGUAAGAAUCAUAGAAUAAUUAAGGUUGAAAAAGACUUCUAAGUACAUCUACUCCAACUGUCCACCUACCACCAGUAUUGCCCGCUAAACUAUGUCACUAAAUACUACCUCUAUCCUUUCCUUAAAUACCUCCAGGAAUGGCGACUCCACCACUUCCCUGGGCAGCCCAUUCCAGUGCAUCACC